GCGGGAGUUGCCAAGCCUGGUCAACGGCGCAGGACUUAAGAUCCUGUCCCUUAGUGGGUUCGCAGGUUCGAAUCCUGCCUCCCGCA
This 86-nucleotide transfer RNA is filed under the name Candidatus Aenigmatarchaeota archaeon. Its description in RNAcentral is "tRNA-Leu". It matches the Rfam family "tRNA". From Rfam's summary of the family: Transfer RNA (tRNA) molecules are approximately 80 nucleotides in length. The record is from RNAcentral. Lineage: Archaea; Nanobdellati; Candidatus Aenigmatarchaeota.